Molecule: ribosomal RNA, 220 nt
Filed under: uncultured Sebacinales
Lineage: Eukaryota; Fungi; Basidiomycota; Agaricomycetes; Sebacinales
Description: partial 18S ribosomal RNA
Rfam family: Eukaryotic small subunit ribosomal RNA
Source: RNAcentral
CAACGAGGAAUGCCUAGUAAGCGCAAGUCAUCAGCUUGCGUUGAUUACGUCCCUGCCCUUUGUACACACCGCCCGUCGCUACUACCGAUUGAAUGGCUUAGUGAGGUCUUCGGAUCGGCUUUAGGGACCCGGCAACGGGACUCUGUUGCUGAGAAGUUGAUCAAACUUGGUCAUUUAGAGGAAGUAAAAGUCGUAACAAGGUUUCCGUAGGUGANCCUGC